AGUGAACGCUGGCGGCGUGCUUAACACAUGCAAGUCGAACGAGAACGGGUUAUAGCUUGCUAUAAUUGUCAGCUAAGUGGCGCACGGGUGAGUAAUGUAUAGGUAAUAUGCCUCUUACUAAGGGAUAACAAAUGGAAACGUUUGCUAAUACCUUAUACUCCUUAUUAACAGAAGUUAAUAAGGGAAAGACUUAUUGGUAAGAGAUUAGCCUGUAUUGUAUCAGUUAGUUGGUGGGGCAAUGGCCUACCAAGACUAUGACACAUAACUGGUUUGAGAGGAUGAUCAGGCACACUGGAACUGAGACACGGUCCAGACUCCUACGGGAGGCAGCAGUGGGGAAUAUUGCACAAUGGACGAAAGUCUGAUGCAGCAACGCCGCGUGGAGGAUGACACAUUUCGGUGCGUAAACUCCUUUUAUAUGAGAAGAUAAUGACGGUAUUAUAUGAAUAAGCACCGGCUAACUCCGUGCCAGCCGCCGCAGUAA
RNAcentral lists this ribosomal RNA (484 nucleotides) under uncultured bacterium. Its description in RNAcentral is "partial 16S ribosomal RNA". It matches the Rfam family "Bacterial small subunit ribosomal RNA", at positions 29 to 523 of the family's 1533-position model. The record is from RNAcentral.